This is a non-coding RNA of Xyrichtys novacula (pearly razorfish), 6601 nucleotides long. The record is from the annotation of a GenBank genome assembly. NCBI's taxonomy places the organism in Eukaryota, Metazoa, Chordata, Actinopteri, Labriformes, Labridae.
GCUAUAGAGUGGCGUUUUGGUUGAGCGCGGGCUCCUGGUAAAGUUUAUUGUUUCAUUCUUGGUCAAGCAGCCAGGCGUCACCGUGUUAAUCUCACAUCAUCACGUUUGAGUUGCAUUCAUAGCAGCGUUGCUUUGGAGUGUACAGAAUGACAUGCGCACCGGUUUUAAAGCAGAGCAUGUCAUUCAGAUUACAAGUUAGUUAUAAAACAGAGCUAGCUGAAGUUUUGAUACGGUAGGUUGAUCCCAUAGACCGUAUAUACUAUGGACAACUUGGUUCCGCCUUCCAUCAGUACACAGAUUUUAAGCCGAAAAGCUCUCUGUAUUUCUGCGAUUUUUCUCCACUUCCUGAAACCAACAUUGCACAGUAGCGUUGUUCGCAUUCGGCAGGAGAGUCGCCGAGAGUCGCUGUGAUGACGCUCGGCUCAAACAGCGUAUCCCCGGGUGAGCUACGCAAUCUUCGUACGCUCAUAGGCUGCAUCAAGUGUCAAUCAUAGAAAACAAGAACCCCCUAAUGACUUUUAAAAACUGAGCUGCACAGAAAAAAGAGGACUUGAGCACAAACCAGUCUUAUAGUGACUACAUGUCAACAUCGCAACUGGGGGGAGAAAACCCUAGCCCUAACCCUAACACAGAUUCUAUAUACAGUCUAUGGUUGUUUGGAAGUUUCUCUUGCAAAACCAGCAACAUUUCUGCAAGAUCUCACACUUUUUUUUCUGAUUCGCAAAGUCUCCUUCAAGUCUGCAUGGUCAGAAUCUAAAAGUUAAACUUUGCUGGAGAACAAGAGGAGAGCUUGUUCAGGCCUGUCACUGAGCUGUGUUCACUCGGCUGUAUUUUAACCUGACAGAAAUGCUCCCUCAUUCAGAUGUCUCUAAACUCUCCUGCUUCAGAUGUCUGUGUGCAGAGUUACUCCUCUGUGUGCUCAUUUCACAGCUCUGUGCAUGCAAAAUUUAUAAAACUAAGUAAAGGCUGUGUCCUGUCCUCUGCUGCACAACGACUUCAUGCCUCUGUAAUCUUCACAGGAACAGAAACUUUCUCAGUGUAUGAAAAACAAUAUCCAGUUUUUUUGAUGUUAUUAGAAUUGUAUCUCGCCAGUACUUUAAAGCCCAUUGAAAUGAGCUUUUUCCUCUCUGUAAUUUACCAUCAGGGCCUUUUUAUUGCUCUGCUCUCAGAACCUGUAAAUGAUUGAAUAACUAAAUAACAUUUUCAAAUAGCUUCACCAGUCUCUGUUAUUUUCAUUACUGUUGGUCUGAGAGGGCUCUGCUUGAAUUCGGGUGGAUUGAAGUCUGCACUGACAUCAUUAAACUGAGAUUAAUCAGUGGAUUUGAUAUAAAAACCCGCAGACAUAUGUUCAAUUAGCACCAAAAUUAAUACUAUGACUUGGUUUUAUUUAUUUUGUAUCCUGAAAAGAGAAAAAAAAAGUAAAAAUGGAGGCCAUUGCUUCAAGUCCAUUUAUGCACUCAGUCUAAUUACACCAUUGGUUAGGCUUUGAAUAGUAAAUAAUUUGAACACAGGGUUUUAUUCAUCCCACUUUCACCAAAUAACAUAAAAUUGUGAGUUUAGCCUUGAUGUUUUAAUUUGAUAUUAUACUCUAGUACGAAAUCCUUUCAAAAAGGUACAAAUUACUUCAGCUCAUCUCAUAAAAGGGGCAUCAAUGUGAGCUUUCAGAGCACUUAACAGUUUAAUCGAAUGUCCUCCGUCACACCUCAGACUGCUGUUGGUCUCAUGCUCCGCCGUGGAAAUGAAACAUUCUCCGAAUUCCUGAUCAUCUGCUCCCAUUGAGGUCACAGGCGAUGCCUCGUUUACAGCAUCUCUCUGCUGCAGUGUUGUAAUUAUUUUCCCAACCAGGCUGCUCAGAGCAGCUCAGAUGAGUCAACAUUACACUCAUAGAGUACGUCUGCUGGUAUAUCUGCGAUUAUAACACGUCUACGCAGGGUUUAAUUAUGCCAUGAGGUGUUUUUGGAGCAAUCAACAGAUUUGGGUAAGCUUUAUUCAUUAGGCUUUUAGCACUCCAUAGAGCGGAGUUUUAUGACAGAAACCCAUGCUUGGUCCUGAUUAGCCUGUGGAGAGCACUUAUUGAUUUUCCCCUUAUGGCCUCGCAAUCAGUGUAGAAUCAGGAUGAAACAUCCGACUCUCCACUGACAACUCCCACAUCGGUAAAUUAGGACUAAAAUCCUCACCACACUCCAUGCACUCCUGAAAUGUGCUAUUUUUAUGUGCUGUAUGACUCAUUUUUUGACCACAAAAAAGUGAGUUAAUCAUUAAUGGAGCAGCAAUAAUCUGUGGCACUGUCAGAGGGAACAAUCUCAAUUACAAGUCUAGAUCUGCAUAUGUCCUGGUUCCUGUUCAUGGUCUGAGUACCAUCGUCCAGUCAAGUGUCAGCAGGCUUUGAUGUAUGAAGGUAAAACUUGAGUGACCAAAAAGCUGAUCACUGUCUCAAGAAAGCAAACAAAGUGACUUCCAAACAUCCUGGGAUGCAUCUAAAUUAAAAAUGGUGCCUCCACUCAACAAAAACCUAUUUUAAGAAUUGUUUUCUUCCUCUCUUGAGGACAGACUUAAUAAAGCUCGAUUUUUUUUUUUUUACAAACCGGCUUCAUGAUGCUGUAAUUUCAGCAAACUUGGAUUCCAUUAACUGCAAGUGCGUCACAGUCUUUUUCGGAUAUAUAUCUAAUGAAACUGAGACUCAGCAGAAACAGAUGGACAGACACUCCUUCAGGGAAUUUAACAAACAGAAAUGUCACUCUGCAGACAUAUCUAGAGAGGUGAUACCACUUUAAUGUCUGUAAGACUGUAUAUCACAAAUUCUCAACGUCCCUUUUUAUAUCUACUUCGGACAUGGAUGUUGAUCUAAAAAACAAUUAUUGAAGUUUCUGACUUUCAUUUAAUGUUUUUUUUUAACAAUAUUAAUUUUGCCUUCAUUUCAGAUAGAAACAAAUUAGGGUUAGAAACUGGGAUCUCAGAGUGAGACGGAGGCGGACAACAUAAGCAAGAGCCAACCGCCUUGGUAAAUUUGAAGCGAUCUGUGGAGCUUUGCAAAUAUGAAUUUGGGAUUUGUCUUGUACUGAAUUUGUAUAUCGGGGUUCUCUCUUGCAGCAGCUUAAGGGGACAGACUGUUGGACUUAGAGCAGGCUUCAACUUUAAGAUUGGGUACACUCUACCAGACAAUCAGGCGGAUUUAAGGCUGGAUUUCCCCCCCAUUCUGCUCAAAUCUGAUAUCUUUAUAAUUAAUCAUGUUCAGUAUUUAUAUGCUCAGAAAUCCUGUUGUGUGGGGGAAACCCAGAGGACAGUCAAGAAUGCACUCUGUGGAACAAAACAAUAGUCCAUUUGACUUAAGAAGGAAGCUCCACAAAUACACAGUGGCAUGAAACUCGAAAUUAGAUCGAUGUCAGAACUGACAUGGUUAGCUUAACAACCAUCCUGUUAUCCUCCGUGUUUGUUUAGCUUGUAGUUUUGACCAAAACAGAUUUUGCAAGAUUUCCAGUUCAGAGAGUGUGGACUGGAGUUGUUAUGUGAGUAUGUGAUGUAUGAGUAUGUUAUAUAUCGUUUUCGAAAACUCGAACACUUAACCCCAAAUUCCACAUUGUACUGACAUCACACGCUGUUGGAGUGAGGCUGUUUCACUUUGUCGGAAGCACAUGGACCAGUAAGGAGAGUCUAUAAUUCUUGUGUCAGACUUAAGUAAAUCUCACACAUAAACUACCGUCACACACUUGGCGCGUUUGUCAGAGAUUUGAGCAGUUUACAUCUACUUUCUCUGAUUUGGACAAAAUAUGUUUACCUUGUGAUUUGAAAUGUUGCAAACAUGUUGUAUGGACGCCAGACUUUGUAACUUUGCAGUUGUUGUUGUAAGAAACCACUCUUCUCACUUUUAAGCAUGACUGAUGAGCUAUGAUAACAAAAUCUGAAAUUACACACUAUCCAAGCCACGGCAAAAGCUUUCUGUCGAGAUAAAAACAUGUAGGUUCUGAGCCUGACUCGUUAAAUUUUAAAAUACAUACUCCAAAUAGGAAACAUUAUAAAUAAAGCAAUGUCACUUAUGUAAGGAAGUUCCUCUUCAGCACCGCUGAGGAACAUAAGAAAGGGUAAACCAAAGACAAAUAACUGUUUUAACAUUUUUAUAUGAAUAAGUCAUAUAAAACAUGAACAGAGUUUUGCACUCUGUACUUAUAUACUUCAUUUUUUUACAUAAGAAAAAACACAUUGAACUGUCACAACAUUAAACUCUAGAAUACCUCCUAUCUAAGUAUUUAACUAGUCUUUUGGAUCAAAUAAAAUCCAGGAUGAGAGUGGCUGCUGUGUAAAUUUUUCCAUCCAGAAUGUGUUCUCGUGCUGUGUUGCCAUAGAAGCCUGGUUCAAUGUGUAAUUGCUAAUGGGCUCAUUAGUCAGGCAGAGAGAUGUGAGAGGGAAAUGUCCAAUGUUGAUGUUGAUGCAGCUUCCUCUCAUGUUCAUUGCAGUCUAUCAAUGUGGUUAAAUGCUUUUAAAGGAGCACUGGAUAUUUGUAAGUAUAUCCAAAUAAUAUCAGAAAUGUUUACAAAUUACUGUACUAUUUAAAAAACACAUUGGUAAAAAAAAUUAACUGUAAACUCACCUUUUAAGUCCUUAAAUUCUGCUCUUGGAUAUUUGGCAUUUUACGUUUGAUAUUUGCUCUUAGCUAUGCCUUACCUACUAGGCAAACAGCAGCAUCAGCAUCACUCCUUCCCUUCACCUCUGAGAUAAAACACACAGAUCUGAGUCCUGACUUCUUAAGGACUAAGCAAACAAAUAUCACUGAGUGAAGAGCUGAGGAUAGUGUGAGUAUAUAAGGUGACCAGGUCAGGAUAAAAGUGAUGUCCGUGAGGGAUUUGAAACAUAAUGCCAAAUUAUAUAAGGUUUUUACCACUGUGGUUCAGGUUCUCUUUUCUUGUUUCCAACAUUGCUUCACCAUUUCCUCCAUGUUUUUCCUUUUUUUCUUCACCCUCUUUGCAUGAGGGUAUCAAGGGCUGUGAAAGCUAGCACUAACUAAGGUGUUCUAGUCCCGUGCCUAACCCUAACCCCGAAUUUCCACCAAAUCCGGAACGGCUUUGAUCCGGAACGAUGUCAAUUUUCACCGUCUUCCAAUUCCUACCGGAUCUGUUUGUGAGGCGAAUUUCGUGGCAGAUUACUGACAGGAAUCGCGAGAACUCACAAGAACCAUUGCGAUCGCACGAUAACGAGUUGUCUAUAAAGACAGCCACAUAACCAUAUAAGCAGUAGGUUGUGUCCUUCCACUUCUAGACUUUUAGAAUCAGCAUCUCCUCAACCAUGGUGUCAUCGGGGUGAAAUGCUGUCUAAAAACCUUUCAUUCAUUUGUCCGUUUGCAUGGUGUAAAAUACGAUCCACCUGAAACACGGAGUGUUUUAUUUUGAAACGACUUCCUUUCCAGCACGGGUUAAUCUGUGCUGAAUUUAUCCAGCAUUCUCCGGCGUCAGAAAAACUAGAACGCUUGCGAUCAGCUGCGGAGUGCGGCGACCAACAGUGGAACGGAAAGAAGCUGGUGGAAAUUGACACAUUAACUUGAAUGGUUAUGAUCAGCUACGAUCGGCGGAUACGGCCUUUUCGUAGCCGUUCCAGAUGCAGUGGAAAUUGGGGGUAACCCUAACCCUAACCAUGAAUGUGUUGGCUCUCCCCUCCCAUGAUACAAGUUGUCAUAUCUGCAUUCAACUCCUCUUCUCUAGGCUAGGUCUGUUUUUUCCAGGACUUGUCACUGACUGCUUUUCCAUUCUGUACCCCUGGGGUCUUUGAUGAUGCCCUCCCUGGCCAUGGCUUUUCCAUGUAUGCACAGGAGGCUUUAGCAUUGGCUAAAAUCAGGGCUUUUUCUUCAGCUGCUUGACUGGCCCCUACUCCCCUGAACUGGUUUGAGGCAUUAAUAAUUUAGAUAGAAAAAUCUAAAAUCUCAUUGCUGAUGAUCUUGUUUACUUUUAGAUAUUAUGAAAAGAGAUUCAAAUGUUUUUAGUCUACUUUGUUCAAGUAAAAAAGACCUGAAGUGAUGACUUUUUUUGUGAUUUAUCUUUUCAAAAUAUUUUAUGGAGGCUGAUAAUAUCUUAAUUUUCAUUGAUAGCCUUUCAUUUCAGUGAUCACAAUAUUUUAACUACACCAUUAGUGCUUCAAAAGUAAAGCCAAUAAUUUAACAUUUUGUAGUCAACAUGAGCUGUUAGAUUGCUGGAGAUGCAGAGAGCGUAAUGGAUUUAGAGCACACACAGUUGCUCGGCAUGAUUGAAAAGGGUCAGUGGUCAAUGUGUUGCCAUUUUAGAUUUACCAGAACAAAGGGAGAGUAGAUUUAGCAAUGCAGCAGAUGGACAGAACCAGAAGGGUAGAAAACAUUCAUUUAAAGGUUAGCUGUCCCGGCGUUUGAUUCUCCGCCUGCAUUACUUUUUUAAUUGGUUUGAUUUUAGCACAACCUAUUUAAAGUGAUUUAAUUCAAGUAGACAUGGAAGUUGGGAAUCUUCUUUUAAAACUUGUGUACAGAGCAAAAGGGUUAUUUCAAUAAAGGUAAAUUCAAAGUCUCAAACCACGCCACAAAACCAAGUAUGUUUGGUUAGUGUACUGUUUCAAAAUGAGAAAGAAAUUUGCGUCAUACUUUUGUUUU